Molecule: ribosomal RNA, 443 nt
Filed under: uncultured bacterium
Lineage: Bacteria
Description: partial 16S ribosomal RNA
Rfam family: Bacterial small subunit ribosomal RNA
Source: RNAcentral
CCUACGGGGUGCAGCAGUGGGGAAUAUUGGGCAAUGGGCGCAAGCCUGACCCAGCAACGCCGCGUGAAGGAAGAAGGCUUUCGGGUUGUAAACUUCUUUUCUGAGGGACGAAGAAAGUGACGGUACCUCAGGAAUAAGCCACGGCUAACUACGUGCCAGCAGCCGCGGUAAUACGUAGGUGGCAAGCGUUAUCCGGAUUUACUGGGUGUAAAGGGCGAGUAGGCGGGAUUGCAAGUCAGAUGUGAAAACUAUGGGCUCAACCGAUAGAGUGCAUUUGAAACUGCAGUUCUUGAGUGAUGGAGAGGCAGGCGGAAUUCCCGGUGUAGCGGUGGAAUGCGUAGAUAUCGGGAGGAACACCAGUGGCGAAGGCGGCCUGCUGGACAUUAACUGACGCUGAGGCGCGAAAGCGUGGGGAGCAAACAGGAUUAGAUACCCGAGUAGUC